RNAcentral lists this transfer RNA (69 nucleotides) under Tadorna tadorna (common shelduck). Its description in RNAcentral is "tRNA-Glu". It matches the Rfam family "tRNA". Rfam says of the family: Transfer RNA (tRNA) molecules are approximately 80 nucleotides in length. Lineage: Eukaryota; Metazoa; Chordata; Aves; Anseriformes; Anatidae. The record is from RNAcentral.
GUUCCUGUAGUUGAAGACAAUGACGGCUUUUCAAGCCGUAGGUCUCGGAUAGUGGCCGAGCAGGAACAA